Molecule: ribosomal RNA, 84 nt
Filed under: Coprobacillus cateniformis
Lineage: Bacteria; Bacillati; Bacillota; Erysipelotrichia; Erysipelotrichales; Coprobacillaceae
Description: partial 16S ribosomal RNA
Rfam family: Bacterial small subunit ribosomal RNA
Source: RNAcentral
ACAAUGGAGAGUUUGAUCCUGGCUCAGGAUGAACGCUGGCGGCGUGCCUAAUACAUGCAAGUCGAACGCACUGAUUUUAUCAGU